CAACCUCAAGUCAUAUGGGAAUACCCCCUGACAAAAGCAUAUUAAUUAGGGGAGGAAAAGAAACUAACAAGGAUUUUAGAGUAGGGGCGAGCGAAAAGAAAUCACUUCAGCACAUAAGUCACUAUGUAUGUGCGGCAAAGGGGGGGUGCAGGUUGAGGAACAUCAACUUUCUAACAUGAGAAGUCAGGGAGUAACGUCACCCGUCUCCAGCUACACGCCCCAUCGGGUAGACGCUCCCAAAUAGCGUACGCUUUUAUUCUUAACAGUCUUCUCAAAGAACCAGCGACUGUCGCCAGCAGCAGUUACGAACCAAUCAGAAGCGUUAAAGUCGAUAAC
RNAcentral lists this non-coding RNA (336 nucleotides) under Drosophila virilis. Its description in RNAcentral is "Eukaryotic large subunit ribosomal RNA". It matches the Rfam family "Eukaryotic large subunit ribosomal RNA", at positions 1 to 239 of the family's 3401-position model. Lineage: Eukaryota; Metazoa; Arthropoda; Insecta; Diptera; Drosophilidae. The record is from Rfam by way of RNAcentral.